This 497-nucleotide ribosomal RNA is filed under the name uncultured bacterium. RNAcentral describes it as "partial 16S ribosomal RNA". It matches the Rfam family "Bacterial small subunit ribosomal RNA", at positions 28 to 507 of the family's 1533-position model. The record is from RNAcentral.
GAUGAACGCUGGCGGCGUGCCUAAUACAUGCAAGUCGAGCGAACGGACGAGAAGCUUGCUUCUCUGAUGUUAGCGGCGGACGGGUGAGUAACACGUGGAUAACCUACCUAUAAGACUGGGAUAACUUCGGGAAACCGGAGCUAAUACCGGAUAAUAUUUUGAACCGCAUGGUUCAAAAGUGAAAGACGGUCUUGCUGUCACUUAUAGAUGGAUCCGCGCUGCAUUAGCUAGUUGGUAAGGUAACGGCUUACCAAGGCAACGAUGCAUAGCCGACCUGAGAGGGUGAUCGGCCACACUGGAACUGAGACACGGUCCAGACUCCUACGGGAGGCAGCAGUAGGGAAUCUUCCGCAAUGGGCGAAAGCCUGACGGAGCAACGCCGCGUGGGUGAUGAAGGUCUUCGGAUCGUAAAACUCUGUUAUUAGGGAAGAACAUAUGUGUAAGUAACUGUGCACAUCUUGACGGUACCUAAUCUGAAAGCCACGGCUAACUACGUG